GUAGCCAUCGCAGGUUUCAUUACUUUUCUUCCAUUCCGUCGCAGAAGGAAAAGGAUAUCGAAUGAUCGAUUCACCAUUGAGAACAUUAACCCCAAAAAGACGAAUAUUGUGGUGUUCUAACAGCGGCAGAUCAAAGAAGAACUUGAUGAGCGAAAUCCGCUGACAAAAAAAAAGAGAACUUUUUGAAUUCCGAUGCCUAGCGUCCCCUGAUAACCUAGGAUUAGUGGUGAUAGGGCUGAUGUGGUAUCUCGGAAACUGGGAUUUGAUGGUAUCUGUAGAGCGGAUCCCAUGGGCUUCUCGGGUGGAGGUUGGUUGAAGAUGAUGUGAUGCAAGUGAACGUUUACGAAAAAGCUGUCGUAAAGUUUCGUUCUUCGUUCAAAAACCCUAUUUAGAUAGAAAUGGACAUGUUAGAAAAUAUAGAAUAGAUAGAAUCUAUAAAAACAAACUAGAAUGUUUUACUUGUGGGAGUGUAGAACAUUUAGCCAACACCUGCCCCAAAAGAAUCAAUAGUAAAACAAGAAAUUCACAGUUAAUAAAAGAUUUUCAAGAAACCCUAAUAAAUAUAGAUGAAUACAUGUCAGACAACGAAAGUAUAUAUUCUAUAGUAAGUGUAGGUAUAGACGAAACCCAAAUAGAAACCUCAGAGUCAGAAGAUGAAGAGUUAAUAAAUGAGAUAUGACUAGAAAAACUAGACCUAGAAGAAAAUAACUUUGUAAAUAUAUUAGAAGAAUGUACCCAUAAGUUUGAAAUAAAGAAGAAAAUAACUUUGUAAAUAUAUCAGAAGAAUGUACCCAUAAGUUUGAAAUAAAUGAAGGAUUAGAUAGCAACCACUGUUUUAAAUGUAAAUGGUAUCCCAGUAGAAAUAAAAGAUCUAAAUGUAAAUUACUGUAACGACCUGACCCGUCGUCCCGUAAAUUAUUGACCCGUUUUACCUAUUUUAUGAUUUUAUAUGUUUUAAUAUAUGUAUUUGGAGAGUUUGAAGUAAUUCGGAUGGAGUUUGGAUAGAAAUGAGACAACCAGUCUCUUUCUAAGAAAGUUAGUUUGGAAAAGUCAACCGAGCAUUGACUUAUGAGUUAUAGGGAUCGGAAUAUAUUUCUGAUGAUUCGACUAGUUUUGAAUGGUGAUUUAUGACUUAGGAGCGAAAUCGGAACUUAAUUUGGAGGUCCGAUGCAGAAUUAGGCUUGAAUUGGCUAAGUUAGAAUUUGGCGAAGUCCGGUUGGUAGGUGAGAUUUUGAUCCGGGGGUCGGAAUGGAAUUCCAAUAGUUGCAGUAGCUCCGUCAGAUGAUUUUAGAUAUGUGUGCAAAAUUUCAGAUCAUUCGAAGGUGCUUAGGUCAGGUUUUGGAGCAAAUGCAAGUUUCGAAAGUUUUUGUUUAACUUAGGCUUUGAAUCCGUGGUAAUUUGAUGAUUUUGAUGUUUAUGAUAGUAUUUUUAUGUUACGAGAAAGUUUGAAUGAGGUAAUAGAAUAUGUCUGUGCUUUUGGUUGAGGCCCCGAGGGCCUCGGGGUGAUUUCGGAUGGCUAACAGGAAUUUUUGGAAUGAAAAAGUGCAGCAGAAAUUGCCCUCUGCGAUCGCGAGCCUGGGACUACGAUCGCAUAGAAGGUUCUGAGGGGGUGCUAAUUUGGUCUCUGCGAUCGCGUAUCUUGGUCUGCGAUUUCGUAGGCUAGAGUGGUUGGUCAGUGCGAUCGCGUAGGAGCGCGUGCGAACGCGUAGGGUCGCUAGUCAGAGUUCUGCGAUCGCAUGGUCUCACCUGCGAUCGCGUAAGAGGAAACGUAAGGGUCCGUAAUUUGUUCUCCGCGAUCGCAUCUAUACUCAGAAUCAAUCCGAACUAGCUGUAAUAACCCACACCUGCAACCUCAAGUGAAUUCAUACAAUAUACACCACAUUCCAACACUCGGAACAAUAGUCUCUAUCCACAGCAGUUUCCCACAAUAACCAAAUACUGAUAGAAAAAUCUUUAUAUUAGCUAAAGUCUUAUCCCAUAACCUUCAUAUACUGCCAACGGCAACUGAAACACGCGAUAAACCAAACCCAUCUCUCAUAUCAUCCAUUCAUGAGUCCAUUUCCUUUCUGACUUAUACUACAACAAAUUAAUCUCUAAAACACGCAACGAACCGUAGCAGUUCUUCUGGUCAACCAUUCAUGAAGCCACUUCGAAGUUGACUAUUACCACAAAUGUUUUUUUGGGCCAAACCUCGAUGUUACCACUCUAUCCAGCUGAAAUCAAAUCUACUCAUACUUAUUAGUAACCCAGCGAUCACCUCGACUCUAUCACAUCACUUAUGGUGAUAUGGUGCCUCAAUACAGGCCUAAGCCACAAUUGCAUAAUACACGCGCCAAUAAGGAACAAUUUAUACAUACCCAAAUCAGGCAAAUGACUCAACCAGAAGAGUUAUACCUGAUGCUCAUCAAUACCUUCACAAAACCAAACUGAGACCCUGUCUCACAUCAUGGGAAUGGAGUACCUGAAUCCUCCUCGAGAGGUCAUAACUUCACGUGGCCUCGCCACAACACGCGAUCGUAUCCCAACACCAUUACACAUGAAGCGCCUCAUGUUACCAUGCUCACAGUAGACAGCCAUGCACAUAUCUUUGCCUGAAACCAAAUUACCCCUCACACUCACGGUGAAACAAAUAAUAUACCAUAUUCAGUCCUGAAAGGGCACAACCGAUACACUAUCCACCAAGCAAUUCUCAAUACGGAUUUUCCUUAGAAGCCGGGAAGCAAGGAAUACAAAGCGACACAUGGAAAGCUAUUCUCAACCUCAAACUGUUGCGGCGCACAACCCGAUCUAGAUAACAUACUCUUCGCGGCGUGCCACCCGAUCCACACAAUAUCUCACAUAGGGAGGUGCACAUCGAGCCAAAUUUGCUCAUAAUAAGAAAAUACUAACAUCGGUCGAAGCAUGUGAGUUCAUAAAGAUAUCUUAUUAGCGUUGUAAGCUACAAAAUUACUAUGACUCAUGACGAAGCCGCACGACAUGGUGCCCUGCACCAGAUAAUUACUGAAAUCCACAGUCUCGCCCAACAACAUGCCCGACUACAAGGACGCAUCUGAAAAGUCCCUCAAUACAGGAACCGAAAUCACUGGUAGAAACCUCUAUACUGAAACCCGUCUCGAAGGCCCAAUUAAGGAACACAAUUCUUCCUAGAUGACCGCUAGUCUCUGGAACACAACCAUCCAGCUAGAACAUAGUCUGAUACACUCCGCCACGCAACAUGUGGCAUUUCCCAACAUUACUCAUAGCACAAUCGUUUAGAAUAAUCCGACACUAAGACAAUCACUCAACAUCCCCAUAACAUAUCCAGAAUUUAAUAUACUAAGCAAGGAAAGAUCCACUCGGCUAUAGCCGUUGACAGUACCAAUAUAACACACAUGAUCCUCAAUUACCACAUAAACUGCAUCGGAGAACUCCCAGUCUCCGACUACUCAUAGCACACGAAUCAACGUGCCUGAUCCAAAUAUUUUAGAUAUGUGUGCAAAAUUUCAGAUCAUUCAACGUGCCUGAUCCAAAUUUCCGAAAUGCGAAAUGCAGAUUACACCUCAAGUACCCAACUAUUCCACGAGGGAUGUUUUAAAACUCCCAUGCGCGAUCAAACAACUCAGAUAUCCACAGUCGACCCCCGUAAGGAAUUGCCGUAACACUACUAAUGUAUCAUUUGUGGAAUUACCCUCUUUCCAAAACUUAUGAAAUCGUCAAAUCACUUCCACUUAACAGUACCAGUUCUUUGAUUACUUGAAGCUAGUCAUUACCUAAGACAUAGCCAAAUUCACCAUACCUUUAAGAACUGAGUUGAAAACUCGCACACGCCCAUUUCGGUCCUUUACAGCAUACCGCAUACCCAGUAUUCUCUAGGGAUAACACGAGAACUUCCAUCUCCCUUCUGCGUCGCAGACAUCGACGCACCCAACUAGUCUAGGACUUCCAUUGAUUCCGUUUAGAAGAAAAAUUUAUUAUACACUCCAUGCUCCGCAUUUCCAUAGCAAAUAUACAUCUCCAAACCACGAUGAAACUCAACAAGAAUUCUCUCCCAAUUCUAUUUGCACAAAUUAAACUUCCAAGGACGGAAUCUCUCUAUCUGAACCAAGCUAAGGAGACUUUCAGUACUCAGGAGCGUCACUACCCACCGCUGGUAAGAACCCAUUACCUCAACACAUACCACGAUUGAUCAUAUCUUUACCAUACCGAUUCGGGCCCCUAACAAGUUACUCCAUUUGUAUCGAUUCCCACCUGAUUCGUUUUUCAACUAGAUAUACUCUCUUGUUGUAGCAGCACACUGUCUCAACCCAGUCUCACUAUAUGAGACCCAACACAAGACCAUACCCUAUAAGACCCAUAGGCCACUGAAUGCUUUCUCAAACGUGCUUUGACUUACCACAUUACAAAAUACUUUUCCCGAAGAACUUUCUGCGACUCUGAACUGGUUACCCUUACUUUCCAAAUACUGAUACCUAGAACCCUGUAAUCAACGUAUAAAUACCACAAGUGUUGACCUAUGCUAAUGAAAAAAACUAACUUGGUCACAUACUCAACCUCAAAACACCAGAGUGAUACCUAUCAAAUUUCGAUCACAUAAAAAACUAUUCUCAAAAGUAGACGACUCUUAUACACACUGCAAUUCACUUGACUUAAUGAGUCGAACCACUUGUGCCUUAUCAGCACUCUGACACCAUGGGACAAGAUUUUAUUCCGAUACAGCGAAACAAAUUUUUUUUUUCUUACGCCAAGCAUUCUUUAUCAAUAGCUCGAGACAUUCCCUUAUUUUCCCAAAUCCGCGAAGCACCAUAUAACCUUUGGCAAAAUUUCGCUUCACUCGGCUUCCUUUCUGCAACCAGAACUGAUUCACUCACAUGCAUCGAAUUGGAAUUAACACAGUACAUAACAAUACGACCAGCGCAUCCACAGCAACCUCCCCAACUUAGCUCGAAGCCAUUUACAUCACAACACAUAUGCUCUAUUGCUAUCGUAAUAUCAUGGUGAUAUUAAACUCACUCUUUCAAUCUGUGGAAACACGAAUCUUCAAAAAUUCUAACUUUCGCCCAAUUCUUGCAUUCAUUCACACAACCGCUAAGCCCAUCCUUAAGGCGUCAAAAUUUCUAUUAAAUCCCAAAUUUCCAAAAAUUUUGGCAGAGUUUCCUUUGUAAUUGAGCAUAUCCAGCUGUUAGAGAAUUGCCAAAAUCAUCCUAACAACACGUCCAAAACUAGACGUAGCAUCAGAAUGUAUAACAACAACCUCAAUCUCGAUACUACAUGUAUUAUAUUAUUAAAAUUGAUACCUGAAUAUGCGCUGCACCUGUUCGAAUGAUAACAUAUAGAAAAAUACAUCUUAAUUACACAUACAGUCUUCUAACAUACACAUAAUGAGCAUACCACUACGGAACCUGCUUGCUUCAAUAUAAUAUUUCGGUACAUCAUCCACCGUCAUACUCUUCACGCAAUCAGUUGGUAUUCCUGAGUCUGGACUCAUACCAAAACACACACACUCCCAGCUAGGAGACUCGAUAAAAGGUUCUUCAUGCCCCCAUAACUCGGGCCACAUCUCCAUUACAAUGAGAAUCAAACACUUAAUGGUUCGUCCACCGCCUAGCAGACCAUCUUCAACACUUCCAAGCCAUAUGAACACAUUACAUGGCACCAACAUACACACCACGUAGCUAUCCAUCCACCAUCACCACAAUUAGGGACAAUACUUAACUUAUAAGCUCAUAACACUAACUCGCUCAUUCAGCACCUUAGUGCUCAAGCCAUAGAUAGAGAUUCGGCCUCAAGUCCUCUAGACUGGCCCAACAUCUACUCAUAAGAAUCAUAAUUCGCCCCUCGAUAGGGGAACCACCUGAAAUCAAGGCAUAUAUAAUACUGGACGCUCACGGACGCAUACAAAUGUGAGGAAGGAAUUUCAAGGGUUACCCCUUCAAACUGAAUCAAGAACGCACGAUAAGAUUUCAAGAAAGUGGAGUGUUUCCUAAAGGUUCUGUAUAAACUAGACUCUACUAAACUGGCUCAUGACUCGUGAGGCCUAGUAACCUAGGCUCUGAUACCAACUUUUCACGACCCAAACCCUAGGCAAGCCCGACCAAACCCCAAUUAAGAACGGCAUCCAAGCCCAAAGAGAAACAAUUUAGGAAUAACCAGCAAAAUUCAAUAACAAAAAUCCCAACCCAAUGGGUAAUUCAUACCCAAGAAAAACACAACUGAAUAGUAAUCCUCCCAAAAAUCGAUGAGUCACGAGUCCAGAGCCUCUAACAAAAUAGAAUACAAGUCUGAACGGAAAUGAUACAGAGUCUAAUAAAAUAUCAAAAGAACAUGACUGAUAUAGAUAGAUCCUGUGGAUGCUGGGCAGCUACCUCCAUACUCUUAAUAGCUCGAGAAAUCAACAGCAACAGUACUAAGUCUCUGGAGCACCUGAAUCUGCACACAAGGUGCAGGGAAUAUGGGGUAAGUCUACCAACUCAGCGAGUAAUAAGCAUGUAUAGAAACCCGAAAGCAGGAAAUCCACAAAAAGCACAGAGUAAAGUUAGAUAAACAGUUCUAUACAGUACAAGUCUUAGAUAUAUCCAAAUAAAGCAACAGAAAAUAAAUGCAUGAGAUGCAAUGCAAUGCAUGACCAUUGCGGAACGUGCAGUCCGAUCCAUUUGGGUACCCGCGCUCACUGUGGGGGUUCAGACUCCGGAGGGGCUCCUACAGCCCAAGCGCAAUAUCAUAGUAACAUACCCUGGAGCACACAACCCGAUCCACUAUCAGUCCAGCUACAUGCAUGCAAGCCUCACAUGCACAUAUAUCUUGCCAUUUUUAGUUUAGUUCUUAGAAAUCUUAGGAUUAGGUGUCAAACCUCAAUAUUUACCAAAUCAUGUUAAACAGUGUUUUAGUGCAGGAGUGAUGUCAUGAAAUCAUGCUAUAAUGCAUAGAAACAGUAGUAACGAUCCUCACGGGAUCCAAAUAACUGGCACGCAACCCUAAUAUAUUCAUGACCAUCCAAGUAGGAGAUUUACCGGCCCAUCUAUAGCCAACAACACCAUAUAAUGAAACUCGGUCGGACUAAGCCAUAGUCCCAAAUCAUAAUCGACCCCGCACUCGCAGUAAAGUACGUGUCUUGCCUUAAUACAGCGUCACAAUGUGAUAUACCUGGGUUUUGUACCCUUGGGUCAUCAUCUACACCCAUUACUCACCUCAAGCCGGCCGCAAACUAGCUCGUAAUGCCUUCCCCUCGAGAAUCAACCUCCGCGGAUGCCAAAUCUUCUCAAAACCAAUAGGAAUAUGUCAAAAUAGGCUAAUGGAACAUAACCCAACCGAAAUAUCUCGAAAUACACCCAAAAACACGAAGUUGGCAAAACCCGAGCCUCGGGACCACUUCUCAAAAAAUUACGAAUUUUAAAUUUACAGAAUCCUCGUUUUGCCACGAGUCCAUACAUGUCAAAUUACAAGAAUCGGAGUCCAUUUGACCCCUCAAAUCAACACUUUGAGGUUCACUUGGGUUUCAAGCCCUAACCACCAUUUUGACAUCAAAGACCUUGAUUUCUAAGUGCUUAAUCCAUUAUUUAGUACCAUAAUCACAUAUUCAAGGUCUAAGAGAUCAUACCUGAAUAAUCCCCUUGAAAAUCUCUCCAAACCUCUCUCAAUCGCCUCAGCCCAAAGUUCUAUUGUUCUUCUCCUUUUCAAAAUAUUAAUCCCUCUGAUUUCAUUAAAACUGGAUGAUUUCCGCUUCCGCCGUAUUUUUCCGCUUCACUGGUCCUCGCUUCCGCGUCCAGUUGACCGCUUCCGCGGUCUGCCCAUUUCUUCGGUGGCCGCUUCUGCGGUCGAUCUACCGCUUCCGCGACUCCAUCGUACACGGUCCCUUUGACUUCUUCUGUGAUCUCUGGAUUCCCCCUUGGCCACUUCUGUGUAGUAUUGUUUGCUUUUGCGGACACCGCUUAAGCGGUCUCCCCGCCGCUUCCGCGAAAAUACCAGAAGCAGUAACCAUUUUUCAAGCUUAACUCCAAAAAGUACUCGUUUAACCAUCCGAUAUCACCCCGAGGCCCCCGGGGUCCAAACAAAAAACACAAUUAUGACCAAAUACCUCAUUUAAACUUGCUCGAGCCAUAAAAACACUAGCUUAAACACCGAAAAUCACAAAAAUCAUCAAAUCAAAGCCUAAGAUAAACAUGAACUUCUCAAAAUCUCAUUCGACGCUGAAACCAACCAAACGAAGCCUGAAUGACCUGAAAAUUUGCAGACAUAUCCAGAAUCACCAAACGAAGGUAUUGCAACUCUCAGAAUUCCAUUUUGACCUCCGGAUCAAAAUCUCACCUAUAAACCGGAAUUCGCCGAAAUUCAACUUAGCCAAUUCAAGCCUAAUUCUACACCAGGCCUCCAAAUUCAAUUCCGUCUUCUCUCCAAAGUCACAAAUCAUCAUCCAAAACUAGUCGAAUAGCCGGAAAUCCAUUCCGAGCCCUCUAACUCAUAAGUCAACAUCCAGAUGGCUUUGCCUACUUAAGCUUUACUUAAAGAGACUAUUGGUCUCAUUUUUAACUAAAUUCAGCCCAACACACUUCAAACUCACCAAACACAUAUAUCAACACACGUGGAAGCAUAAUACGGGGAUAACGGGGCUGAAAUACGGAAGAGGAUGGGUCGUGUCGUCACAUUAAUGUUCUGGUAGUCUUCGCCUUGAUGAGCCUUCUUCUUCACUUUUUGGCAAAGUGACAGCCAUAAACGGAUUUGUCUUUACCGGUCACUGUUUGAACCGGACUAGCUGUAUCAUAAUCCGAUACAGUGGAUUUUUCGGCAUUCAUUGGAGAAUGCACACCCUUCUCAUCUAUUUUUUCUUGAGAACGAGAACUCUUCUUCAGACUAUUCAUCUCUGUAUCUUGUUGAGGAACCACUUGAGUCUGAGAUUNNNNNNNNNNNNNNNNNNNNNNNNNNNNNNNNNNNNNNNNNNNNNNNNNNNNNNNNNNNNNNNNNNNNNNNNNNNNNNNNNNNNNNNNNNNNNNNNNNNNNNNNNNNNNNNNNNNNNNNNUAAGUCUGGUUUUUUCUUUCUCUAAGAUUUCAUUCUUCUGGUUUAACCUUCUGAAAGCUUCAGUCAUUGAUGAGCAAUGGUCGCAAAAUAUUAUUUUAUCUGUGUCUUUUUGGAUGUUGUAUUGGAUUUUUCUAGAUUUUGUCUGAGUGCUGGGGAAAUAUAGUAAUUUGGUCCGAGUAUUCCUCUUGGGUAGCUAGUGCUUUAGUAAAAUCAUUAAAACCUUUAAAAAGUAGUUUUUGUAUGUCUUUAAUAUAGUCUAAUUCUUCUAUCCACGUUUGAAAAAUAUCAUUUGUCUUACCGUGUACAACCACAUAGUAUAUAAACCUUUUUUCUUGAUUUUUGUCUGUAAAAUAUUUCCCCAAGGCAUUAAGAGCUGCUAUAAAAUAUUUAGUGUCUUUCUUAUUAUAUGCUAUCCACCAGGUUAUCAAUUAAACAUCUCUGGGGUCUAUCUAUAACACAUUCUGAUAAAACUCUAAAUGACAUAUUUGAUGGUGGAAAAGAUAUUAAAUUAUGCUUCCCAAAAAUUAUCCUUUCUAUAUUAUUUUGUUCUGUAAUGGAUUGUGGCUUAAAAUGAAGGUUACCUAAUAUUGUCGGCAAAUAUUUGUCUGAGGGUGAGGCUUGAACGCCUUUUCCUUGUCUUCAGUCUUGGGAACUGUUGGUCUCAUUCUAUACAUGUAAAAUAUUCUUAUUAAUUGACAAUAAUUUUUAACUUACUUAAAUGGUCUGCUAAAUUAUUAUCUUUUUCUUUAAUAUGUUCAAAAACUAAAUUAUAUACUGAUAUUGUAUCAAUAAAAUUUAACCAUCUUCUUAUACUACUAUUUUUUGCAUUUAUCUUUUGGUGAAAUUUUACCAUUUUCUUCUACCACUACUUUUUGCAUUUAUCUUUUGGUGAAAUUUGACAAUACCUUCACAAUCAGUUCUAAUUUUUACUUCUUGUUUAUUUAAUAUAUAUAAUUUAAAAUUGUUUAAUCCAUAGAUUACAGCUAAAAUUUCUGCGUCUAUACUACUCAUAUUUCCUUUCUCUUUAUAUUUGCCACUUUGUAUGCACAUAUUUUUCUGUAUUCUUAUCACUAUAUUUAUUUGAUUUUGCUUUUAAAACUGCUCCCCAUUCCUCAAAACUUCCAUCUGUUUCUAUAAUUAAAUAAUCAGUUUCUAAUGGAAUAGUUAGAUUAGGAAUAUUCUUUAUUUUUUCUUUAAUUUUAUGUACUUAUUUAAUAUCUUCUGUAUUAAAAUGUUUUUGUCUGUAAUCCUGUCUUAGCAUAUAAUGGUCCUGCUAUUUUUCCCAAGUCUUUUAUAAAAUUUCUUGCAUAAUUUACUAUUCCUAGAAACUUUUGUAGUUCUUUAAUAUUGUCUAAUUUAUCUGGCAUUUCUAAAGGCUUUUAGCUAUAUCGGGUUGUAGCUUAAUCUUCCCAUCCCCUAGAACAACUCCUAAAAAGUUUAUAUAAUUUUUACAUAAUUCCAUUUUCUCUUUACUAAUAAUUAUUCCAUUAUCUACAAAUAAUCUAAAUAUUGUAUGUAGAUAUCCUAAGUGUUCUUUAAUAUCUUUACUGAAUACUAAUAUAUCAUCUAUAUAUAUUAACACAAACCUUUUAUAUUCUCCAAAUAUAUUAUCCAUUUUUCGUUGGAAAAUUGAAGGAGCUAUUUUUAAUAUGAACAACAUUACUAACCAUUUGAAAUGCCCUUCUGGCCAAGUAAAUGAUGUCCAUUCGAUACUUUCUUCAUGCAUUUUUACUUGCCAAUAUCCUGAUUUACAAUCAAAUUUACUAAGUAUCUUUUUUCCUUGUAUUCUAUUUAUUAGUUCUGUUUUAUCAGGUAGCUUGUAUCCAUCUGUUCUGGUGUUAUCAUUGAGUCUUUUAUAGUUUAUUACCAUUAUCGCUUUUGCUCUUAUUAUUUCACUGUGAUUUCUAACCAUAAAAGCUGCUGACCUAUGUUUACAAGUAGAUCUCCUUAUUACACCUAAAUCCAUAAGUUCUUUAAUUUGAGCUUUAAAGUCUUCAAUGUCUUCAUUUGUAGCUUCUAUUGAAGCCGUUUUAAUUAUAUAUUCUGGGUUUAUUAUGUCUAAUUUAUACAUCACUUUAUUAUUUUCUCAGUGCUUUAAUGGUUUUUCUCCGAUUAUCUAUAUCUCAUAUAGAAUUUUUAUUAUAUUCUCAAGAUCCUUUUCAUUCUUUAUUAUUCCUAUACUUUGUUAUCCUGUUUUGAAAUUGUAUAAUUCUGUUUCGAUGUCUAUUAAUGUAUAGUCCUUUUCUAGUAUAUCUCUAUCUUUGUUUUCUUUUAAUAUUAAAUUUUUAGUUCUUCUUUA
RNAcentral lists this long non-coding RNA (11288 nucleotides) under Nicotiana benthamiana. Its description in RNAcentral is "long non-coding RNA (NBEN_LNC008081)". The record is from RNAcentral. Lineage: Eukaryota; Viridiplantae; Streptophyta; Magnoliopsida; Solanales; Solanaceae.